This 253-nucleotide ribosomal RNA is filed under the name uncultured bacterium. RNAcentral's name for it is "partial 16S ribosomal RNA". It matches the Rfam family "Bacterial small subunit ribosomal RNA", at positions 524 to 776 of the family's 1533-position model. The record is from RNAcentral.
UACGGAGGGUGCAAACGUUGCUCGGAAUCAUUGGGCGUAAAGCGCACGUAGGCGGCCUGAUAAGUCGGGUGUGAAAGCCCUGGGCUCAACCCAGGAAGUGCACUCGAAACUGUCAGGCUUGAAUAUGGAAGAGGGUCGCGGAAUUCCCGGUGUAGAGGUGAAAUUCGUAGAUAUCGGGAGGAACACCAGUGGCGAAGGCGGCGACCUGGGCCAAUAUUGACGCUGAGGUGCGAAAGCGUGGGGAGCAAACAGG